Molecule: ribosomal RNA, 449 nt
Filed under: uncultured bacterium
Lineage: Bacteria
Description: bacterial SSU rRNA
Rfam family: Bacterial small subunit ribosomal RNA
Source: RNAcentral
CUCCAGACUCCUACGGGAGGCAGCAGUGGGGAAUAUUGCACAAUGGGGGAAACCCUGAUGCAGCGACGCCGCGUGAGCGAUGAAGUAUUUCGGUAUGUAAAGCUCUAUCAGCAGGGAAGAAAAUGACGGUACCUGACUAAGAAGCCCCGGCUAACUACGUGCCAGCAGCCGCGGUAAUACGUAGGGGGCAAGCGUUAUCCGGAUUUACUGGGUGUAAAGGGAGCGUAGACGGCGAUGCAAGCCAGAUGUGAAAGCCCGGGGCUCAACCCCGGGACUGCAUUUGGAACUGUAUAGCUGGAGUGUCGGAGAGGCAGGCGGAAUUCCUAGUGUAGCGGUGAAAUGCGUAGAUAUUAGGAGGAACACCAGUGGCGAAGGCGGCCUGCUGGACGAUGACUGACGUUGAGGCUCGAAAGCGUGGGGAGCAAACAGGAUUAGAUACCCCGGUAAUA